Mirounga angustirostris (Northern elephant seal) is the source of this 357-nucleotide long non-coding RNA. RefSeq lists it as uncharacterized. Lineage: Eukaryota; Metazoa; Chordata; Mammalia; Carnivora; Phocidae. The record is from RefSeq and is a predicted model, not a curated record. The transcript is spliced from 3 exons.
CACCCCUUGAAAGGACCAAGACAUGAAGGUGCAGAGGCUGUUGUUCCUGGUGCUCUUGCUGUGGUGUCCCGGUUCCCCAAACCCAAAUCUUGUCCAUGUUGUGCCUGACCGUUUCCUUCUUGGCCCUGAUGGGGUUGGAGUUCUAUGGAAACUUCCCAUUAUCACUGCCCCCUUGGGAGUUUGUGUCUUUCUCAUUUAUAUCUGGAGAACCAUCCUCGCUAUAAAGCCUCGGCGAUAUGAAGGUAAGUUUUUUGGCUUUAGUUUUCAUUGUCGUAAAUUCUCAGUACCGGUGUUUGAUGUGGGUAUAAUUCGACUAGGGGUAAAUAUGGUGACUUCUGAUGUCUAAGUGACUUGUUA